Molecule: non-coding RNA, 1605 nt
Organism: Chrysemys picta bellii (western painted turtle)
Lineage: Eukaryota; Metazoa; Chordata; Testudines; Emydidae
Source: RefSeq, a predicted model, not a curated record
UUUUUUCAAAUAAUUUCCCUUCCCGCCCGAAUUAUAAUUUUACCCAGGAAAUUGUCCUCGCGGGUUUUGGGGGCUUCGCCCCUCGCGGGCCCAGGGACAGCAGGGAGGGGGCGAGGGGGAGGCGGCAGCGCGGGUGGGCGCGGCAAGGAGCGGUCCGGAGUACAGCCCUGGAGAAGCCGGCUCGGAAGGGGGGAGGGGGAGGAGCGGGGGGGAGGGGGGAGCGAGCGGGCAAGUGAGCGAGGAGUUCCCGGGGGCUCGGUUCGGCGCUGCGCUCCCCCCGCUCGCUCGCUCUCGCGGCUGUCUCCGCUCUGCCUGGCCGGGGCUCAGGCCGCCGCCGCGUCCGGGCCCCGCUGCCGCCGCCGGUCGCUGCGCAGGUUUGGAACGCGCGCCAUUUUGUGAGCGAUAGAAAAUCUGCCCGGCCAGGAAGCGCCGCGGAUCCGCCCGCCGGGCCGGGCCCCCCCGCCCGACUCCCCGCGAGAGGGAGGCGCGCUGCGGGCUCCCGCCGGGGCCCCGCACCACACCGGGGCCCGAGGGCGGCUGGACUGCGGAGCGGAGGCGCUGCGGUGCCGGGGCCCCCGGCCGAAGCGGGGGAAGCGCUGUGCCCAGCCGCCGCCUCCCCGGAGCUCGAGAGAGGAGGCCUCUGCCGGGAUCGGGCCCCCCACGGCAACCGGGCAGGAGAGCAGUGGCCACCCCCAACCCCCACGGUGUUGUGUUUUGCUGCUGGACUCUCCCCUGCCACCCACCCCCACAGGAUGAUAUGAGACUUGAAAGAAGACGAUGCAUACAGGUGAUUCUAGUUUUGAAAUUCCUGUAGAAAGAAAGAUCUAUAUUGAUAUUCUGAUGUUCUAUUCUUUCUUUGGAUUUUUUUCCUAUCCCCCAAAACUGCAUCAUUACAACCUUCAUAAAACAUAUUUACAAAAGGAGUAGAAAUCAUUGAUCUUUUGGAGAUUACUUUCUAGAAAUUAUAGUUUGAAAUGUCCAGUAGAAAAACCGCUUUCCUGAAUGUAGAUUCUUUUCCAGUUUUCUCUAAAUAGAUGGCCAGGCAGUCAAAGUGCUGGGAAAGCAUAUUGCUUUAUUUUAAGUCCCCUUGUUUUUGUUAAUAUUCCUCCUUUCAUACUUUUCCCAGUUACAGAUUUCCAGUUGUGAUGUGUUGUGUAAUUAUUUGUAUAUAAAUUUUAAUGUUAAAAUAAUGUAUUAUUUAAAAAACAAAACAAAAGUAUGCAUCUGACAAACUAUUUUAAGCAAGAAAAUAGUUAACACUACUUCAUCUUUAAUCACUAUUGGACCUAGAUUUUGUAAGGGUUUCACAAGAGUUGAUGUAGCCCUCAACUGUUUGCAAUAUACAGCCAUUCUUCAAGCUGAUGCUUUGUUUUGGUGCUUUUUUUUAAAUUGGAAGUUCUAAAAUCAGUGUGAUUAAAAAAAUAUAUAUAUUUCAAAACCUUUCCAGAAAUCAUACGCUUUUUUGGCUAUGUGGAUCUCUCAAAACUUGUAUAUUUUGUUUCAACCCGAAGGGCAUUACUAUGGCCAAGCCUCAAAUCCCAUGAAAUGGGAUACAUAAUGGGGAAAAAAAACAAAUGAAGCAAAGUAGAUUCCUUGGAUUGGAUU